CUAGCCAUUUGAAAUUCUGAGGUGUAUGUUGGCUGUAGCAUAUUCAUUGUAGGAAUCAGAUCGCACCAAGAAGGGAUCUAUCAACCUCGGUAGAUGAGAGGAGUAGUCCUAUGAUGAUCAAAAGAUCAAGUCCUUAAACCCAUGGCCAUGGCAGAGUGAAAUAAUGGAAAAGAGUUUUUUAUUGAGAUUUCACAUCUGACUCGAAUCGAUCGAUUGAUUCAUAUGACUGAUAUUGG
RNAcentral lists this long non-coding RNA (236 nucleotides) under Elaeis guineensis (African oil palm). Its description in RNAcentral is "long non-coding RNA (EGUI_LNC013134)". The record is from RNAcentral. Lineage: Eukaryota; Viridiplantae; Streptophyta; Magnoliopsida; Arecales; Arecaceae.